Molecule: ribosomal RNA, 490 nt
Filed under: uncultured bacterium
Lineage: Bacteria
Description: partial 16S ribosomal RNA
Rfam family: Bacterial small subunit ribosomal RNA
Source: RNAcentral
AUUGAACGCUGGCGGCAGGCCUAACACAUGCAAGUCGAACGGUAACAGGAAGCAGCUUGCUGCUUUGCUGACGAGUGGCGGACGGGUGAGUAAUGUCUGGGAAACUGCCUGAUGGAGGGGGAUAACUACUGGAAACGGUAGCUAAUACCGCAUAACGUCGCAAGACCAAAGAGGGGGACCUUCGGGCCUCUUGCCAUCGGAUGUGCCCAGAUGGGAUUAGCUAGUAGGUGGGGUAACGGCUCACCUAGGCGACGAUCCCUAGCUGGUCUGAGAGGAUGACCAGCCACACUGGAACUGAGACACGGUCCAGGCUCCUACGGGAGGCAGCAGUGGGGAAUAUUGCACAAUGGGCGCAAGCCUGAUGCAGCCAUGCCGCGUGUAUGAAGAAGGCCUUCGGGUUGUAAAGUACUUUCAGCGGGGAGGAAGGGAGUAAAGUUAAUACCUUGGCUCAUUGACGUUACCCGCAGAAGAAGCACCGGCUAACUCCGUG